This 226-nucleotide signal recognition particle RNA is filed under the name pig gut metagenome. RNAcentral describes it as "Bacterial large signal recognition particle RNA". It matches the Rfam family "Bacterial large signal recognition particle RNA", at positions 3 to 226 of the family's 256-position model. Rfam says of the family: The signal recognition particle (SRP) is a universally conserved ribonucleoprotein involved in the co-translational targeting of proteins to membranes. Archaeal SRP consists of a 7S RNA and homologues of the eukaryotic SRP19 and SRP54 proteins. The record is from RNAcentral.
GUGAUAGGUGGGGAGGUAGCGGCACCCUGAAUCUGCAAUCCGCUAUAGCAGAACCGAACGUCUUUCCCGGUGACGGGUAUGGAAGGCUGCGCAGAGUAAGGAAUGUUGAUCAUAAGGUCUUGUGCAACGUACUGCCGCGAACCGUGUCAGGGCAGGGAUGCAGCAGCACUAAACGGAUUUGUGCGUGUGCCACAAGGUAGCUUUGUAGGAGUCACCUGCUUUUGUU